GACGAACGCUGGCGGCGUGCCUAAUACAUGCAAGUAGAACGCUGAAGAGAGGAGCUUGCUCUUCUUGGAUGAGUUGCGAACGGGUGAGUAACGCGUAGGUAACCUGCCUGGUAGCGGGGGAUAACUAUUGGAAACGAUAGCUAAUACCGCAUAAAAUGGAUUAUCGCAUGAUAAUCCAUUGAAAGGUGCAAAUGCAUCACUACCAGAUGGACCUGCGUUGUAUUAGCUAGUUGGUGGGGUAACGGCUCACCAAGGCGACGAUACAUAGCCGACCUGAGAGGGUGAUCGGCCACACUGGGACUGAGACACGGCCCAGACUCCUACGGGAGGCAGCAGUAGGGAAUCUUCGGCAAUGGACGGAAAUCUGACCGAGCAACGCCGCGUGAGUGAAGAAGGUUUUCGGAUCGUAAAGCUCUGUUGUAAGAGAAGAACGAGUGUGAGAGUGGAAAGUUCACACUGUGACGGUAUCUUACCAGAAAGGGACGGCUAACUACGUG
This 497-nucleotide ribosomal RNA is filed under the name uncultured bacterium. Its description in RNAcentral is "partial 16S ribosomal RNA". It matches the Rfam family "Bacterial small subunit ribosomal RNA", at positions 28 to 507 of the family's 1533-position model. The record is from RNAcentral.